This 72-nucleotide transfer RNA is filed under the name Candidatus Doudnaibacteriota bacterium. RNAcentral describes it as "Candidatus Doudnabacteria bacterium tRNA-Thr". It matches the Rfam family "tRNA". Rfam says of the family: Transfer RNA (tRNA) molecules are approximately 80 nucleotides in length. Their secondary structure includes four short double-helical elements and three loops (D, anti-codon, and T loops). Lineage: Bacteria; Candidatus Doudnaibacteriota. The record is from RNAcentral.
GCUGGAAUAGCUCAGUGGUAGAGCACACCCAUGGUAAGGGUGGGGUCCUGGGUUCAAGUCCCAGUUCCAGCU